Molecule: ribosomal RNA, 539 nt
Filed under: Bifidobacterium animalis
Lineage: Bacteria; Bacillati; Actinomycetota; Actinomycetes; Bifidobacteriales; Bifidobacteriaceae
Description: bacterial SSU rRNA
Rfam family: Bacterial small subunit ribosomal RNA
Source: RNAcentral
UGGUAAUACCGGAUGCUCCGCUCCACCGCAUGGUGGGGUGGGAAAUGCUUUUUUGCGGCAUGGGAUGGGGUCGCGUCCUAUCAGCUUGUUGGCGGGGUGAUGGCCCACCAAGGCGUUGACGGGUAGCCGGCCUGAGAGGGUGACCGGCCACAUUGGGACUGAGAUACGGCCCAGACUCCUACGGGAGGCAGCAGUGGGGAAUAUUGCACAAUGGGCGCAAGCCUGAUGCAGCGACGCCGCGUGCGGGAUGGAGGCCUUCGGGUUGUAAACCGCUUUUGUUCAAGGGCAAGGCACGGUCUUUGGGCCGUGUUGAGUGGAUUGUUCGAAUAAGCACCGGCUAACUACGUGCCAGCAGCCGCGGUAAUACGUAGGGUGCGAGCGUUAUCCGGAUUUAUUGGGCGUAAAGGGCUCGUAGGCGGUUCGUCGCGUCCGGUGUGAAAGUCCAUCGCCUAACGGUGGAUCUGCGCCGGGUACGGGCGGGCUGGAGUGCGGUAGGGGAGACUGGAAUUCCCGGUGUAACGGUGGAAUGUGUAGAUAUC